Non-coding RNA from Paramuricea clavata, 961 nucleotides. The record is from the annotation of a GenBank genome assembly. Lineage: Eukaryota; Metazoa; Cnidaria; Anthozoa; Malacalcyonacea; Plexauridae.
AAUUUUUUUACUCCCCCUAAAUAGGGGCCCUGAAUUAAAAAUUUGCCCCGGGCCCCCGAAUUUCUCUGUGCGGCCGUGAGUGCUAGUUAUUUAUCGUUAUACACUUCUCAAAAUUCUAACAGUUUAACUGCUUUUAAAACUACAUGAAAUUUAUGAAUAUGCAACUAGUGCUAGCUAUAUAUAUUGUACACGUUUCAAAAUUUUAACAGUAACUGCUUUAAAACUACAUGAAAUUUAUGAAACAUACAAAUGUCAAAUGCUAUAUAUAUUGUUAGGUUACUUAAUUGUACUACCAGUUCAAUGUCUGGUCACUCUUGCCCUAAUAUACAAAUGCUAUAUAUAUUGUUACUUAAUUGUAUUCCCAUGCAGUUCAUCAUCUUUUACUCUUCGUCUAUAUAUAAAUGGUAUAUAUCUUGUUACUUAAUUGUAUUGCGAUGCAGUUCAUCAUCUGUUACUCUUUCCCUUUAUACAAAUGCUAUAUAUAUUGUUACUUAAUUGUAUUCCCUCACUGUAAAUUUCCAAAUGAAUCAACUGGAAAAGUGGUCACCAAAAACGGUGACGGAAUAAAUUUUUUGGAGUUGAUUCAAUUCUUUGAAAUUUCCAUUGUAAACGUGUACGUGCUUUGGUCGCUAAGGUUAGUUUUGGGGUUCCAAGUGAUAGCAUUAAGUUCUUUAUUUUUAUCAGAUUUCGUACGACUCUUGCUUUCUCUUGAAUAAGGGACUAGUUCAGAUUAGGGCAGGCUUAUCGCGUUCAUGGUUAACUUAUGGAACAGUAUGUUUUUCCUUUCUUUGAGCAUGUUCGGACUGUCAAUGAUGCUUCAUCGGUUCUUAACCAAGAUUCGUGUCCCUCACGCUUAGCCAUAUCAAAGGCGGAAAGCCCAGACGAAUCUUUUAGAUAAAUGUCUGCAUUGUGCUGAAUAAGGAUUUCAAUAGCACGUUGUUUUCCAGCAAGUCCUUCAGUG